GACUCUCGAAUCUGCUUAGAAAGUCAUUUAGAGCGUAUGUGAUACCUGCUACCAAAUAUCUUACGCACUCAGUUUCUGCUUGGUGUUUCCAUGCCUUUUGAAUCGAUCAAGAAAAUGUCACUGCUCAGAGGUUGAAGCUAAACACACAGAAGAACCAUGUUUGCUAGAAGAUUUUUGGCUGCCUCAUCAGUUAUGCAGAGGCAGUUUGUGAGGAGUAUAAGCAAGUCAGUGCGGCUUCAUCAGCUGGACCUUAAAGGCAUUUAUCCACCAAUUUGCACACCCUUCACAGAUGAUGGCAAAUUUGACAUUAACUAUGAAAAACUUGCAGAAAACAUGAAGGUCUAUCAGCAAUCACCACUUAGAGGAUACCUGGUGCAGGGCAGUAACGGCGAAUACAUCUACCUGACCCCCUCUGAGCGUGUGGAGCUGGUACGCCGGGUCCGCCCCCUGGUCACGGACGGUCGACUGCUCCUGGCCGGCUCGGGAUGCGAGUCGACUGCGGAAACCGUGGAGCUGUCGCAGCAGAUGGCAGAGGCCGGCGCUGAUGCGCUUGUCGUUGUUACGCCCUGCUACUACAAGGCGUCGAUGAACGACGCGGCGAUGGUUGCCCACUACACUGCAGUGGCCGAUGCCAGCCCCGUGCCUGUGAUUCUAUACAGCGUGCCCGCCAACACGGGUAUAAAUCUGAGCGUGGAGGCGGUCACUCAACUGGCGCCGCACCCCAACAUCAUCGGCAUAAAGGAUAGCCUAGGAGAUAUCAGCAAGCUGGCUCAGCUAGUGGAGACCACCAAAGACGAACAGUUCCAGGUGCUAGCCGGCUCGGCUGGGUUCCUGCUGCCGGCUCUGCUAGUCGGUCAUGACUCCACGUGUGUUGGUGGUGGGCGGCGGACUGACGUCCGCAGUGACGUCAUCCCUGCUCCGAGAGGAGCUGGGCAGCAGAUGUCAACUGACGGUGUGGGAUAAGGCACGGGGCGCAGGCGGUCGUAUGUCGACCUCCCGCGGCCCAGAGGGCUGUGGCACCGUGGACCUUGGAGCACAGUACAUCACUGUGACACCACAGUUCCAGCAGCUUCACAACAAAUUCUACUCCGAGCUACAGUUAGCAGGCCUGUUGGCGCCUCUGACAACCACCGUACAGGGUCUCCGCCCGGCGCCGGCCGGUAGCCAACACCUGGUCACUCCCCGUGGUACCAGCGCCCUAGUGAAACACUUCUUCAGCAGGGCCGAGGUCACACCAGAGUUUAAUCAACGGGUGACUGAGGUGUCAACAGAUGGCGCGCAGUGCGUCGUUACCACGGAAACCGGCCGGACUGAGUCGUUUGACGCCAUUCUUCUCACAAUGCCGCCGCCGCAAAUUCUCGAGCUUGGAGGAACGCUGAAGAAGGAUAUCGAGUCAAACCCCGCACUAUCUUCUGGCCUCCGCUCGGUUCGGUUCAGCUCCCGGUAUGCCCUGGGUCUGUUCUUUGGCGCCGGGGGAGGCCCGAAGGUGGACUGGGGUGCCAAGUAUGUAUCGGACCACCCCGUGGUGCGGUAUGUGGCAGUGGAUAACGUCAAACGCGGACAAGCCUCCGGUCCCAGUUCGGUGGUGGUCCACACCAGCGUCCAGUUCGGGGAGGAGCACGUCGAGAAGACGCCCGCCGAGGUGCAGCCAAUCCUGGAGCGCCACGUCACAGAGCUGUUCCCUGAUUGGCCGGCGCCCACCUCGGUCAAAUGCCAGAAGUGGCGCUAUUCGCAGGUGACGGAGCCGUUCCCGGGCCGUCCCGGCCACGUGGUGCUCAGUGAGCAGCCCCUGGUAGUGGCCGCCGGUGAUGUGUUCAACCGCUCCAACAUGGACGGGUGUCUGGAGUCGGCUACCGGAGCGGCCCGGCUCCUGGUGGAGAAGCUACGUCAGAAGGAGGCGUAACCACCGACCCAGGAGCCACUAGCAGUACCACAGACGGAGUCGGAGCGAGUUGGCGAGCGGAAAACAGACACCAUAGCGGUUCGAGAUGAAGCGCUCGUACGUCCUCCUUCGUCUGCAGCAUCUUCCACGCGAGUGCGGUCUCAGGGGGAAGCAGGCGGGGAUGUUCGUCACCGCGAUCGCGUUCUUGCUGUAGGAGAUAUCCGCUUAUAACAUCUCACAUUUGUGACAUGUUUGUAUGUGACAUUUCAAUAACACAUAAACAGCGUUGAAUGUUGUGCUUUGACAUAAUCAUUACAGUAACAUUCUCGAUAAAAUAUACACAAGCAGGGUCGGA
This 2237-nucleotide unclassified non-coding RNA is filed under the name Amphibalanus amphitrite. RNAcentral describes it as "4-hydroxy-2-oxoglutarate aldolase, mitochondrial- like, transcript variant X9". Lineage: Eukaryota; Metazoa; Arthropoda; Thecostraca; Balanomorpha; Balanidae. The record is from RNAcentral.